AGAGCGAACGCUGGCGGCAGGCUUAACACAUGCAAGUCGAGCGGGCGUAGCAAUACGUCAGCGGCAGACUGGUGAGUAACGCGUGGGAACGUACCUUUUGGUUCGGAACAACACAGGGAAACUUGUGCUAAUACCGGAUAAGCCCUUACGGGGAAAGAUUUAUCGCCGAAAGAUCGGCCCGCGUCUGAUUAGCUAGUUGGUGAGGUAACGGCUCACCAAGGCGACGAUCAGUAGCUGGUCUGAGAGGAUGAUCAGCCACAUUGGGACUGAGACACGGCCCAAACUCCUACGGGAGGCAGCAGUGGGAAUAUUGGACAAUGGGCGAAAGCCUGAUCCAGCCAUGCCGCGUGAGUGAUGAAGGCCCUAGGGUUGUAAAGCUCUUUGUGCGGGAAGAUAAUGACGGUACCGCAAGAAUAAGCCCGGCUAACUUCGCGCCAGCAGCCGC
RNAcentral lists this ribosomal RNA (445 nucleotides) under uncultured bacterium. RNAcentral describes it as "SSU rRNA". It matches the Rfam family "Bacterial small subunit ribosomal RNA", at positions 26 to 518 of the family's 1533-position model. The record is from RNAcentral.